RNAcentral lists this long non-coding RNA (1495 nucleotides) under Prunus dulcis (almond). RNAcentral describes it as "sRNA ncRNA". Lineage: Eukaryota; Viridiplantae; Streptophyta; Magnoliopsida; Rosales; Rosaceae. The record is from RNAcentral.
AAGGAAUUUGUUGAGAGUAGUCAACGCAGGCCAGUGACCAUGGACAGCAUCCUUCAGAAGCUGAGGAAUUUGGACGCCUACCCUAAAAUCAAUGACGAUUUCUUCAGCCGUACACUCUCCGGUGGCAUUAUUACCCUCGCCUCUUCCCUCCUUAUCCUCUUGCUUUUCUUCUCUGAGCUCAGUAUGCAACCCUUUUUCACUUUUUCUAUUUAUCAACUCUCUCUCUCUCCCCCCUGUUUAUUUUUCGCUUUUCUAAUAGUUCUGAGGUGCGGAAAAAGUUUAGAAAUUGUAGCAUUUGGGUUGUGCUGGAUUGCUUCUGUCAUCUAUAUCUAUUGUUUGUAAAUGGAUCAACUGAGAUUUUUGUUUAAUUUUAUUUUUGUGUUAAAAGUCAAUUUGGUUCACUUCACACACUGGGCUUGGAUUAAUUGGGUUUUUUUCAGGGACAAUUAAAAGUUUCUUCUUGAUGAAUAAAUUUGUGGAGGGGAAAUUGGAGUUAGUUAGAGGAUCAUAUUUGUAGCUAUUCGUCGUGAUGAAUAAAUAUUUGUGGUGGAUUAGAUGAUGGAAGGCCUUGAUAGUAGCCAUUGGCCAUCGAUCAAGGGAUCAAAACUAUCAAUAAGCGGCACAAUAAUUCUAUUAAAUCUGUUUGUAAUGCUGAGUUCUUUUUCCCUUUUACUGCUGCAGUCAUCGAUCCAAUUGGAUGAAUGCUGGAGCUAUGACCACUUAUUUUGCUGUUAUAUAAUAUUAUAAAGUUGUAUUUUAUUUGUUUAUUUAUUCUUUUACUUGCUUGUGCUUGCAGGACUAUACCUCCACACUGUUACAGAGUCAAAGCUGCUUGUAGAUGCUUCAAGAGGAGAAACCUUACAUAUCAAUGUAAUGAUCUCUGUAUUUUUGCUUCCCCAUGUUCACUUUUAAGUGAUCAAUGUUAAACCAUUCAUUUUACAAUAACUUCAAAGGUUCAAAUUAUCAUUCUUUGCAAGUUAUAGUUGUUAUUUUGUAAAACACCUUUUUAUCUGUUAUGUUCAUACAUUUACAUCCAUUCUGGUUUUGCACUUUUACAUGGAGUAGUGCAUUUGCAUGUGAAAUAUUGUCCCACAUAGUCGUUACUGGUUCUAGUUUUACUGAUUAUUUGUUUUUGGUUGAAACUGCAGUUUGAUGUAACUUUUCCUGCUAUCCGGUGCUCAUUACUCAGUCUUGACACAAUGGAUAUCAGUGGAGAACAACAUUUUGACAUAGUAUAAUACUACAGGCAGCUGCUUCUUGUUAAUUGUUUUUCUGCGUUAAAAAUUGCAAUUGUGUUAGGAACAUGUUUAAUAUUGACUUUUAUUGCAAUCAUGUUGCUUGUGACCAACUUUCUUGAAUGUCAUGCUUACUUCUUGUUAACAAUCACAAUUUAUGAUAUAUCUACUUGCAGCGACACGAUAUAGUCAAGAAAAGAAUUGAUGCUCAUGGUAAUGUAAUAGAAGCUAAGAAGGAUGGAAUUGGUGCACCAAAGGUU